GAUACAAAGUCGGGAUUCUUAACCUUCGAUUUUAUUUUGAGAUAUAAGUUGUGCAUGAAUUUAUUGGUAUGGGACAAUUAGGAAAAAUUUGGGACCAAAAGGUGAUAAAUUGGAAGUGGAAAAUCAUCCACAAAUUCCAUGUGGGCCGAGCAUAGUGGAUUGUGGUGCCCACACAAUUUGUGUCAUCUUUUGAGUGGAACAACUCUUUAAUGUGGGCCAAGGGACAAUUGUGCAAUUCAUUAAGUGAUAAAAAGAUGACCACAAUUCAUUUACUUCAUUCUCCACUUGAACAAAAAAAAAAAAAAAAAAAAAAAAAAAAAGAGAAAGAAGCUCCCUCCAUUGAAGCUCACGGACAAGAAGGCCAAAAAUCAUCCCCUCUUUUUAGCUCCUCUAAAAUUAUUCCAUUGAUGUAAACCCACUAUAUUGAGGUCCCUAAGUAGCGUGGAAGCAUCGUUGGAGCGAUCAACCCAUUAUUUUCAUCUUUUGGAAACCCUAGGCUAUUGGAAAGUUGAAGAAGGAAGACCUUGGGCAGCCCGAAUCAUAGGUUGGAUUUAUCUUGAGUUGGAUCAUAUUGGAGAGCGUUUGAGGUACGGACGCACAGCCUGGUGAUCCACCUGUUUAGGACACCCUUUCUGCUAUUCGGAGUGCUCCUCUCUUUCCGGAGCUUAUACUUUUGGUAUAUAUAUUUUUAUUAGUGCAUUUGUAUAUAUUCGUUCAUGGGUACGGCGGGGCCCUGUCCUGUCAUAUGAUUCUGUCGGUCUGUUUAGAGGUCUGUGGACAUGUUUGUGGGUUAGGGUCUUUCUGUAUGGAUGUAUGUAUAUGUUGUUUGGGCGAUCCUAUACGCCGAGGCGGCCGGUCCGCAUAUGUUUAUAUAUUGCUUGGUUAGCCCUGUGUGGCUUUUGUUGGUAUUUUCUGCGUGCAGGGUAUAUUGGAUAGUCCGUAAAACAAAGGAAACUCUGCCGAAUUUUUUUUUGGAAAUUACCUAAAUCUGAAAUAAAGCCUUGUCGGC
Lycium barbarum (goji berry) is the source of this 1009-nucleotide long non-coding RNA. RefSeq lists it as uncharacterized. The record is from RefSeq and is a predicted model, not a curated record. Lineage: Eukaryota; Viridiplantae; Streptophyta; Magnoliopsida; Solanales; Solanaceae. The transcript has 3 exons.